UCCCAGACUCCUACGGGAGGCAGCAGUGGGGAAUAUUGCACAAUGGGGGAAACCCUGAUGCAGCGACGCCGCGUGAGUGAAGAAGUAUUUCGGUAUGUAAAGCUCUAUCAGCAGGGAAGAAAAUGACGGUACCUGAUUAAGAAGCCCCGGCUAACUACGUGCCAGCAGCCGCGGUAAUACGUAGGGGGCAAGCGUUAUCCGGAUUUAUUGGGUUUAAAGGGUGCGUAGGCGGGUUAUCAAGUCAGCGGUAAAAUCGUGGAGCUCAACUCCAUCCAGCCGUUGAAACUGAUGAUCUUGAGUGGGCGAGAAGUAUGCGGAAUGCGUGGUGUAGCGGUGAAAUGCAUAGAUAUCACGCAGAACUCCGAUUGCGAAGGCAGCAUACCGGCGCCCGACUGACGCUGAAGCACGAAAGCGUGGGUAUCGAACAGGAUUAGAUACCCCUGUAU
RNAcentral lists this ribosomal RNA (446 nucleotides) under uncultured bacterium. Its description in RNAcentral is "bacterial SSU rRNA". It matches the Rfam family "Bacterial small subunit ribosomal RNA", at positions 329 to 793 of the family's 1533-position model. The record is from RNAcentral.